UACAGAGGGUGCAAGCGUUAAUCGGAAUUACUGGGCGUAAAGCGCGCGUAGGUGGUUUGUUAAGUUGAAUGUGAAAUCCCCGGGCUCAACCUGGGAACUGCAUCCAAAACUGGCAAGCUAGAGUAGGGCAGAGGGUGGUGGAAUUUCCUGUGUAGCGGUGAAAUGCGUAGAUAUAGGAAGGAACACCAGUGGCGAAGGCGACCACCUGGGCUCAUACUGACACUGAGGUGCGAAAGCGUGGGGAG
RNAcentral lists this ribosomal RNA (245 nucleotides) under uncultured Pseudomonas sp. RNAcentral describes it as "partial 16S ribosomal RNA". It matches the Rfam family "Bacterial small subunit ribosomal RNA", at positions 524 to 768 of the family's 1533-position model. Lineage: Bacteria; Pseudomonadati; Pseudomonadota; Gammaproteobacteria; Pseudomonadales; Pseudomonadaceae. The record is from RNAcentral.